GAUGAACGCUAGCGGCAGGCUUAACACAUGCAAGUCGAGGGGUAGAGGAAGCUUGCUUCCUUGAGACCGGCGCACGGGUGCGUAACGCGUAUACAAUCUACCUUUUACAGAGGGAUAGCCCAGAGAAAUUUGGAUUAAAUGCCCCAUAGUGUUAUCGAAUCGCAUGGUUUGAUAACUAAAGUUCCAACGGUAUAAGAUGAGCAUGCGUCCAUUAGCUAGAUGGUAAGGUAACGGCUUACCAUGGCUACGA
Molecule: ribosomal RNA, 250 nt
Filed under: uncultured bacterium
Lineage: Bacteria
Description: partial 16S ribosomal RNA
Rfam family: Bacterial small subunit ribosomal RNA
Source: RNAcentral